RNAcentral lists this ribosomal RNA (447 nucleotides) under uncultured bacterium. RNAcentral describes it as "partial 16S ribosomal RNA". It matches the Rfam family "Bacterial small subunit ribosomal RNA", at positions 29 to 523 of the family's 1533-position model. The record is from RNAcentral.
AACGAACGCUGGCGGCAGGCUUAGCACAUGCAAGUCGAGCGCCCCGCAAGGGAAGCGGCAGACGGGUGAGUAACGCGUGGGAAUCUACCUUUUGCUACGGAAUAACGCAGGGAAACUUGUGCUAAUACCGUAUGUGCCCUUCGGGGGAAAGAUUUAUCGGCAAAGGAUGAGCCCGCGUUGGAUUAGCUAGUUGGUGGGGUAAAAGCCUACCAAGGCGACGAUCCAUAGCUGGUCUGAGAGGAUGAUCAGCCACAUUGGGACUGAGACACGGCCCAAACUCCUACGGGAGGCAGCAGUGGGGAAUAUUGGACAAUUGGCGCAAGCCUGAUCCAGCCAUGCCGCGUGAGUGAUGAAGGCCUUAGGGUUGUAAAGCUCUUGCACCGGUGAAGAUAAUGACGGUAACCGGAGAAGAAGCCCCGGCUAACUUCGUGCCAGCCGCCGCGGUAA